This 241-nucleotide unclassified non-coding RNA is filed under the name rhizosphere metagenome. Its description in RNAcentral is "partial ribosomal RNA internal transcribed spacer region". The record is from RNAcentral.
GUAGGUGAACCUGCGGAGGGAUCAUUACUGAGAUAGGGUCUUCCAAGGCCCGACCUCCAACCCAAUGUCUACCAUACCUCUGUUGCCUCGGUGGGCCGCCGGCGCUCCUCACGGGGCGCCGCCGUCGGCUUUCGGGCUCUCGAGCGCCCACCGCAGGACCGAUUAAACUCUUUUUAAAACAAGUCUUCUGAGUGGGAAAUUAAAUUUAUUAAAACUUUUAACAACGGAUCUCUUGGUUCUG